CUACGGGACGCACCAGUGAGGAAUAUUGCACAAUGGGGGGAACCCUGAUGCAGCAACGCCGCGUGGAGGAUGACGCAUUUCGGUGUGUAAACUCCUUUUAUAUGUCAAGAAAAUGACGGUAGCAUAUGAAUAAGCACCGGCUAACUCCGUGCCAGCAGCCGCGGUAAUACGGAGGGUGCAAGCGUUACUCGGAAUCACUGGGCGUAAAGGACGCGAAGGCGGGUUGGAAAGUCAGGUGUGAAAUCCUACAGCUUAACUGUAGAACUGCACUUGAAACUUCUAAUCUAGAGUAUGGGAGGGGAGAUGGAAUUAGUGGUGUAGGGGUAAGAUCCGUAGAUAUCACUAGGAAUACCUAAAGCGAAGGCGAUCUCCUGGAACAUUACUGACGCUAAGGCGUGAAAGCGCGGGGAGCAAACAGGAUUAGAUACCCGAGUAGUC
This 438-nucleotide ribosomal RNA is filed under the name uncultured bacterium. RNAcentral's name for it is "partial 16S ribosomal RNA". It matches the Rfam family "Bacterial small subunit ribosomal RNA", at positions 339 to 795 of the family's 1533-position model. The record is from RNAcentral.